Molecule: unclassified non-coding RNA, 286 nt
Filed under: uncultured fungus
Lineage: Eukaryota; Fungi
Description: sequence contains ITS1
Rfam family: 5.8S ribosomal RNA (bases 1-108)
Source: RNAcentral
UAUCUGCGAAAAGCAGUAUGACUUGCAGAACUCAAUGAAUCAUCAGAUUUUUGAACGCAAAUUGCACUUACUCCUUUCGGGGAUGUAAGUAUGUUUAGUUCAGCGUCCUUAAUUAUUGCUUUUCUUACCCUUGCGGUUGAAAGCUAGAGUGGGCUCUGUACGUGCUUCAAUGCUGGUACAUAGCUUUAAGGAAUAGUGAAAGCUAAAGUUUUGGUUAGCCUGACGAUAGUGAUCACAUCAAACUUAAUUGGGCAUGAACUUAAGCAAGAAUACCCGCUGAACUUAA